UACAGAGGUCUCAAGCGUUGUUCGGAUUCAUUGGGCGUAAAGGGUGCGUAGGUGGCGCGGUAAGUCGGGUGUGAAAUCUCGGAGCUUAACUCCGAAAUUGCAUUCGAUACUGCCGUGCUCGAGGACUGGAGAGGAGACUGGAAUUCAUGGUGUAGCAGUGAAAUGCGUAGAGAUCAGGAGGAACACCGGUGGCGAAGGCGGUUCUCUGGGCCUUACCUGACGCUGAGGAGCGAAAGCGUGGGGAGCGAACAGG
RNAcentral lists this ribosomal RNA (253 nucleotides) under uncultured bacterium. Its description in RNAcentral is "partial 16S ribosomal RNA". It matches the Rfam family "Bacterial small subunit ribosomal RNA", at positions 524 to 776 of the family's 1533-position model. The record is from RNAcentral.